Molecule: ribosomal RNA, 1286 nt
Filed under: Rhynchocypris percnurus (lake minnow)
Lineage: Eukaryota; Metazoa; Chordata; Actinopteri; Cypriniformes; Leuciscidae
Description: partial 16S ribosomal RNA
Rfam family: Bacterial large subunit ribosomal RNA
Source: RNAcentral
CAUGAUUUAGCCAGUACCCCCAAGCAAAGAGACCUUUAGUUUGAUACCCCGAAACCAGGUGAGCUACCCCGAGACAGCCUAUGUUAAUUUAGGGCUAACCCGUCUCUGUGGCAAAAGAGUGGGAAGAGCUCCGGGUAGAAGUGAAAGACCUACCGAACCUGGUGAUAGCUGGUUGACUGAGAAAUGGAUAGAAGUUCAGCCUCGCACACCCCAAACCAAGAAAUAUUAUUAUUAAGAUAUUUAGGGAUACAUACGAGAGUUAGUUAAAAGGGGUACAGCCCUUUUAACAAAGGAUACAACCUUUACAGGAGGAUAAAGAUCAUAAUAUAUAAGAUAUACUGUUCUAGUGGGCCUGAAAGCAGCCACCUAUACAGAAAGCGUUAAAGCUCGGACAGAAGGAAAUUUAUUAUUUAGAUAAAAAAUCUUAUUCCCCUAACUAUAUCAGACCAACCCAUGCCCACAUGGAAGAGAUUAUGCUAAAAUGAGUAAUAAGAAGACCCGCUCUUCUCCCAGCACAAGUGUAAGCCAGAUCGGACUAGCCACUGGAAUUUAACGAACCCAACCCAAGAGGGUAAUGUGAUCAACAAAAAACUCAAGAAGACCUCACAUUAAACAAUCGUUAACCCCACACUGGAGUGCUAUUUUAAGGGAAAGACUAAAAGGGGGGGAAGGAACUCGGCAAACACAAGCCUCGCCUGUUUACCAAAAACAUCGCCUCCUGCAACUAAACUGAGUAUAGGAGGUCCACCCUGCCCAGUGACUACGGGUUCAACGGCCGCGGUAUCUUGACCGUGCAAAGGUAGCGCAAUCACUUGUCUCUUAAAUAGAGACCUGUAUGAAUGGCUAGACGAGGGCUUAACUGUCUCCCCCCUCCAGUCAGUGAAAUUGAUCUAUCCGUGCAGAAGCGGGUAUAAAUAUACAAGACGAGAAGACCCUUUGGAGCUUAAGGUACAAAUUCAACCACGUUAAACAACUCUAUAAGAAGUAAGAACUUAGUGAUACUGAAAUUUUACCUUCGGUUGGGGCGACCGCGGAGGAAAAACAAGCCUCCGAGUGGACUGGGCCAAAUCCCUGAAGCCAAUAGAGACAUCUAUAGGACGCAGAAUAUCUGACCAAAAAUGAUCCGGCUAAAAAGCCGAUCAACGAACCAAGUUACCCAAGGGAUAACAGCGCAAUCCCCUCCCAGAGCCCAUAUCUACGAGGGGGUUUACGACCUCGAUGUUGGAUCAGGACAUCCUAAUGGUGCAGCCGCUAUUAAGGGUUCGUUUGUUCAACGAUUAAAGUCC